GGGUUGUGAGGUUAAGCGACUAAGCGUACACGGUGGAUGCCCUGGCAGUCAGAGGCGAUGAAGGACGUGCUAAUCUGCGAUAAGCGCCGGUAAGGUGAUAUGAACCGUUAUAACCGGCGAUUUCCGAAUGGGGAAACCCAGUGUGAUUCGUCACACUAUCAUUAACUGAAUCCAUAGGUUAAUGAGGCGAACCGGGGGAACUGAAACAUCUAAGUACCCCGAGGAAAAGAAAUCAACCGAGAUUCCCCCAGUAGCGGCGAGCGAACGGGGAGGAGCCCAGAGCCUGAAUCAGCAUGUGUGUUAGUGGAAGCGUCUGGAAAGGCGCGCGAUACAGGGUGACAGCCCCGUACACAAAAGCGCAUGUGCUGUGAGCUCGAUGAGUAGGGCGGGACACGUGGUAUCCUGUCUGAAUAUGGGGGACCAUCCUCCAAGGCUAAAUACUCCUGACUGACCGAUAGUGAACCAGUACCGUGAGGGAAAGGCGAAAAGAACCCCGGCGAGGGGAGUGAAAAAGAACCUGAAACCGUGUACGUACAAGCAGUGGGAGCACAGGUUUACCUGUGUGACUGCGUACCUUUUGUAUAAUGGGUCAGCGACUUAUAUUCUGUAGCAAGGUUAACCGAAUAGGGGAGCCGGAGGGAAACCGAGUCUUAAUUGGGCGUUAAGUUGCAGGGUAUAGACCCGAAACCCGGUGAUCUAGCCAUGGGCAGGUUGAAGGUUGGGUAACACUAACUGGAGGACCGAACCGACUAAUGUUGAAAAAUUAGCGGAUGACCUGUGGCUGGGGGUGAAAGGCCAAUCAAACCGGGAGAUAGCUGGUUCUCCCCGAAAGCUAUUUAGGUAGCGCCUCGUGAAUUCAUCUCCGGGGUAGAGCACUGUUUCGGCUAGGGGGCCAUCCCGGCUUACCAACCCGAUGCAAACUGCGAAUACCGGAGAAUGUUAUCACGGGAGACACACGGCGGGUGCUAACGUCCGUCGUGAAGAGGGAAACAACCCAGACCGCCAGCUAAGGUCCCAAAGUCAUGGUUAAGUGGGAAACGAUGUGGGAAGGCCCAGACAGCCAGGAUGUUGGCUUAGAAGCAGCCAUCAUUUAAAGAAAGCGUAAUAGCUCACUGGUCGAGUCGGCCUGCGCGGAAGAUGUAACGGGGCUAAACCAUGCACCGAAGCUGCGGCAGCGAACGUAUCACCCAAGACAACUUUACGGAGUUGACGAUUGACGGAGCGAAGCGACGUCAAAGCGUUCAUUAAAGUCGAGUUGGCUUAGGGAUACGUUCGUUGGGUAGGGGAGCGUUCUGUAAGCCUGUGAAGGUGUGUCGUGAGGCAUGCUGGAGGUAUCAGAAGUGCGAAUGCUGACAUAAGUAACGAUAAAGCGGGUGAAAAGCCCGCUCGCCGGAAGACCAAGGGUUCCUGUCCAACGUUAAUCGGGGCAGGGUGAGUCGACCCCUAAGGCGAGGCCGAAAGGCGUAGUCGAUGGGAAACGGGUUAAUAUUCCCGUACUUGGUGUUACUGCGAAGGGGGACGGAGAAGGCUAUGUUGGCCGGGCGACGGUUGUCCCGGUUUAAGCGUGUAGGUGUGUGUUCCAGGUAAAUCCGGUUCACUUUAACACUGAGGCGUGACGACGAGGCACUACGGUGCUGAAGCAACAAAUGCCCUGCUUCCAGGAAAAGCCUCUAAGCAUCAGGUAACACGAAAUCGUACCCCAAACCGACACAGGUGGUCAGGUAGAGAAUACCAAGGCGCUUGAGAGAACUCGGGUGAAGGAACUAGGCAAAAUGGUGCCGUAACUUCGGGAGAAGGCACGCUGACACGUAGGUGAAGUGAUUUACUCAUGGAGCUGAAGUCAGUCGAAGAUACCAGCUGGCUGCAACUGUUUAUUAAAAACACAGCACUGUGCAAACACGAAAGUGGACGUAUACGGUGUGACGCCUGCCCGGUGCCGGAAGGUUAAUUGAUGGGGUCAGCGCAAGCGAAGCUCCUGAUCGAAGCCCCGGUAAACGGCGGCCGUAACUAUAACGGUCCUAAGGUAGCGAAAUUCCUUGUCGGGUAAGUUCCGACCUGCACGAAUGGCGUAAUGAUGGCCAGGCUGUCUCCACCCGAGACUCAGUGAAAUUGAACUCGCUGUGAAGAUGCAGUGUACCCGCGGCAAGACGGAAAGACCCCGUGAACCUUUACUAUAGCUUGACACUGAACAUUGAGCCUUGAUGUGUAGGAUAGGUGGGAGGCUUUGAAGUGUGGACGCCAGUCUGCAUGGAGCCGACCUUGAAAUACCACCCUUUAAUGUUUGAUGUUCUAACGUGGACCCGUAAUCCGGGUUGCGGACAGUGUCUGGUGGGUAGUUUGACUGGGGCGGUCUCCUCCUAAAGAGUAACGGAGGAGCACGAAGGUUGGCUAAUCCUGGUCGGACAUCAGGAGGUUAGUGCAAUGGCAUAAGCCAGCUUGACUGCGAGCGUGACGGCGCGAGCAGGUGCGAAAGCAGGUCAUAGUGAUCCGGUGGUUCUGAAUGGAAGGGCCAUCGCUCAACGGAUAAAAGGUACUCCGGGGAUAACAGGCUGAUACCGCCCAAGAGUUCAUAUCGACGGCGGUGUUUGGCACCUCGAUGUCGGCUCAUCACAUCCUGGGGCUGAAGUAGGUCCCAAGGGUAUGGCUGUUCGCCAUUUAAAGUGGUACGCGAGCUGGGUUUAGAACGUCGUGAGACAGUUCGGUCCCUAUCUGCCGUGGGCGCUGGAGAACUGAGGGGGGCUGCUCCUAGUACGAGAGGACCGGAGUGGACGCAUCACUGGUGUUCGGGUUGUCAUGCCAAUGGCACUGCCCGGUAGCUAAAUGCGGAAGAGAUAAGUGCUGAAAGCAUCUAAGCACGAAACUUGCCCCGAGAUGAGUUCUCCCUGAGACUUAGAGUCUCCUGAAGGAACGUUGAAGACGACGACGUUGAUAGGCCGGGUGUGUAAGCGCAGCGAUGCGUUGAGCUAACCGGUACUAAUGAACCGUGAGGCUUAACCUUACAACGCCGAAG
RNAcentral lists this ribosomal RNA (3010 nucleotides) under Salmonella enterica subsp. enterica serovar 4,[5],12:i:-. RNAcentral's name for it is "23S ribosomal RNA". It matches the Rfam family "Bacterial large subunit ribosomal RNA". The record is from RNAcentral. Lineage: Bacteria; Pseudomonadati; Pseudomonadota; Gammaproteobacteria; Enterobacterales; Enterobacteriaceae.